Molecule: non-coding RNA, 73 nt
Organism: Saccostrea echinata
Lineage: Eukaryota; Metazoa; Mollusca; Bivalvia; Ostreida; Ostreidae
Source: the annotation of a RefSeq genome assembly
GGCCAGAUAGCUCAGUUGAUAGAGCACCGGACUGAAGAUUCAGGGGGCCUGGGUUCGAAUCCCAGUCUGGUCU